This is a long non-coding RNA of Microtus oregoni (creeping vole), 366 nucleotides long. RefSeq lists it as uncharacterized. The transcript has 3 exons. NCBI's taxonomy places the organism in Eukaryota, Metazoa, Chordata, Mammalia, Rodentia, Cricetidae. The record is from RefSeq and is a predicted model, not a curated record.
CUCGCCGUCCAGCGCCGGCCAAGCGGGGCGAGAAGCCAGGCGCCACCUGCACCUUUCGCGUGCGACCUUCGUGUGAGGCCGUGGAGCGUGGAGAGGACACCGUGCUGCUGUGUCAUCCCCUGCCCAGACAGUGGCAGUCAUGGUUCCCAUUUCCCUGAUGUAGGACAGGCAUACCGUACAAGAGGAACCAGCCAGGUUCUUUCUCCACUGCACUGGAGGAUCUGGAGAGGACAUGGUGCCAGGACUGCUCCUCAGACUCCAACAAUGACAGGUCUCCGAGACUGAGUAUCUUACUACCUGACAACAUGGAGUGGCUGUGGCUUGUAACCUUGACCCUGUGUGAGACACUUCUGUGGGCAGAUGGGG